Molecule: long non-coding RNA, 984 nt
Filed under: Zonotrichia albicollis (white-throated sparrow)
Lineage: Eukaryota; Metazoa; Chordata; Aves; Passeriformes; Passerellidae
Description: lncRNA (ENSZALG00000018098.1)
Source: RNAcentral
GCUGCCUGCUGUGCCUGUUGGAAAGGUGCCUCAGCUGCUGGUGCUGGGGUGGGAGAUGGGGGAUGUUUUACACAUGAGGUUACACAGGGUUUUCUUUUCCCUCUGUUUCUCACAGCACAUUGAAAUGCUACUUCCUGGAUUCGUCUCUGCAGCUUCCCUCCAUCCAAAGAGCCAUGUUUGAUGCCUGGUCAGCUUGAAAAAUGAUGCUUUUGUGCUAUAUGCUGAAACACAUGACGUAACUGAUGGCCAGGAUAAGAGUCAGAUGCUCAGCAAGGGUAAAUUGCCAUGGCUUCAGUCAAAUGAAAUGAGGUGCUAUCAAGAGGAAGCAGUGGAGCAUCAGGUCCCUCAGCUCAGACGAGGCUCUAAACCUCAGCCUGCCAGAGGCAGGCACUGGCAGUGAAAGGAGAAAGAGACUCUGUCCAAGGGAGAAGACUGCUGUCUUUGCUGGUUCUGUGGCUUACUGAAGAGGUAAAAGAAACAUGCUGGACUUUCCUGUCUGAGGAAAAAUUUGUUUCCCUUUCCAGAAUCUCAGGGAAAUAGAUAUUGUUGUUUCCUUCUUGCUGUGUUGUGCAUUGGUUUGGGAAGGCAGCCAGCAGCACAGAUCCAGGCUGUGACAUAUGCAUACACUCUGGCAUGGGCAAUGAACUCCUUUAAUAUGGAUUUAUUUUGCUCCUCCCCAGGACACAUCUCUUUGCCCACGCUGAUAUAAUACCACAGUGCCCAUAACAUCUAGCUCCUUGUCCUGGUUUAGGACAAAUUAGGGGAAAUCUCCAAGAGGGAGCCCCCCAGAACAAAACAAACCUCCAACCACCCCUCCCCCAACACCGGGUUCGGGAAGGAAUUUCUCGGAGGAGCAAAGUGGAAAACAAAACCUAUUUAUUUACAAGUAACAAAAGAACACUCCCCAACACAAGAAAAGAAAAGGGACCAGACUGUGUUGUGGAGGGCGCCGAAUCUUCUCUAGCAGGCUUCGGGUGUCCUGGA